RNAcentral lists this long non-coding RNA (784 nucleotides) under Callithrix jacchus (white-tufted-ear marmoset). Its description in RNAcentral is "lncRNA (ENSCJAG00000079654.1)". Lineage: Eukaryota; Metazoa; Chordata; Mammalia; Primates; Cebidae. The record is from RNAcentral.
UGAUUUUUAAUGUAAAAAUAAAAUAUAAGAACUGUUUUUGGACUUCUUUCUUUCUUUGUUGAGACAGAGUCUUGCUCUGUUGCCAGGCACCAGGCUGGAAUGCAGAGGCACAAUCUCGGCUCACUGCAACCUCCGCCUCCUGGGUUUAAGCAAUUCUCCUGCCUCAGCCUCCCAAGUAGAUGGGACUACAGACUCGCAGCACCACGUCUAGCUAAUUUUUGUAUUUUUUAGUUAAGAGGGGGUUUCAGGAUGGUUUCAGGCUAGGAUGGUUUCAAUGUCGUGACCUCAUGAUCCGCCCACCUCGGCCUUCUAAAGUGCUGGGAUUACAGAUGCAAAAUAUAGAAAAGCACUUUGCAUCAGUCCAUCAGGAAGCACCGAGACUGGUAAGAAAAGCAGAGAACUGCUCUGUUUCCUCUGGAAUGAAGUUUCCUGUACUGAGUAUGUGAGCUGCUGUUUUCAGUUCUACCAUGUGCAGAAUAGAGGUAACAUUUGCAGUAUCCAGAGAUUAGGAAAUGGACAAUCUUUAGGGGUCAAGUCAGCCCAUCACAGCUAGAUUUUUAUUAUCGAAUACAUUUUCAAAGAAGAGAAAUAAAUGAUUUAGUACAUGCAUGUACUUCAGGUACAAACAGCUUGAAAUGCUUUGUCUUUAUGGCUUUCACAACUGUUAUUUUAUGAAUUAAAAGCUAUUACUCAUUAAUAACAACUUUAUUUGUUUUAAAGUUCUUGGAUCAUGACUUUUGUUUAUCUUCUAAUGACUGUACUACUACUAUCACAUACUCUGAUG